Molecule: ribosomal RNA, 1155 nt
Filed under: soil metagenome
Description: bacterial LSU rRNA
Rfam family: Bacterial large subunit ribosomal RNA
Source: RNAcentral
GCACAAACCAGGCCCAAGCGACUGUUUACUAAAAACACAGGUCCGUGCGAAGUCGCAAGACGAUGUAUACGGACUGACGCCUGCCCGGUGCUGGAAGGUUAAGAGGACCGGUUAGCCGCAAGGCGAAGCUGAGAAUUUAAGCCCCAGUAAACGGCGGUGGUAACUAUAACCAUCCUAAGGUAGCGAAAUUCCUUGUCGGGUAAGUUCCGACCUGCACGAAUGGCGUAACGACUUCCCAGCUGUCUCAACCGCGAACUCGGCGAAAUUGCAUUACGAGUAAAGAUGCUCGUUACGCGCAGCAGGACGGAAAGACCCCGUGACCUUUACUACAGCUUGGUAUUGGUGUUCGGUGUGGCUUGUGUAGGAUAGGUGGGAGACUUUGAAGCUUGGACGCCAGUUCAGGUGGAGUCAUUGUUGAAAUACCACUCUGGUCACUCUGGAUAUCUAACUUCGAACCGUAAUCCGGUUCAGGGACAGUGCCUGGUGGGUAGUUUAACUGGGGCGGUUGCCUCCCAAAAAGUAACGGAGGCGCCCAAAGGUUCCCUCAACCUGGUUGGCAAUCAGGUGGCGAGUGUAAGUGCACAAGGGAGCUUGACUGUGAGACUGACAGGUCGAGCAGGGACGAAAGUCGGGACUAGUGAUCCGGCAGUGGCUUGUGGAAGCGCUGUCGCUCAACGGAUAAAAGGUACCUCGGGGAUAACAGGCUGAUCUUGCCCAAGAGUCCAUAUCGACGGCAUGGUUUGGCACCUCGAUGUCGGCUCGUCGCAUCCUGGGGCUGGAGUAGGUCCCAAGGGUUGGGCUGUUCGCCCAUUAAAGCGGUACGCGAGCUGGGUUUAGAACGUCGUGAGACAGUUCGGUCCCUAUCCGCUGCGCGCGCAGGAAAUUUGAGAAGGGCUGUCCUUAGUACGAGAGGACCGGGACGGACGAACCUCUGGUGUGUCAGUUGUACUGCCAAGUGCACCGCUGAUUAGCUACGUUCGGAUGGGAUAACCGCUGAAAGCAUCUAAGCGGGAAGCUCGCUUCGAGAUGAGAUUUCCAUACACCUUGUGUGUGAGAGGCCCCCAGCCAGACCACUGGGUUGAUAGGCCGGAUGUGGAAGCGAGGACUAACGACUCGUGAAGCUGACCGGUACUAAUAGGCCGAUAACUUACACCA